CAAGCCAUGGAAGCCGGGGGUACCUGAAGUGCGUGACCGCGAGGAGCGCCCUAGGGUAAAACCGGUGACUGGGGCUAAGUCGUAACAAGGUAGCCGUACCGGAAGGUGCGGCUGGAACACCUCCUUUCUGGAGCGGACGCCGCUGUGCGCCGUCCACGGAACCUGUCAUCGACAAACGGCCGCUUAUCGUUCGGCCGGACAUCAGGGAUAGCGGUUUUCGGUGCUGCUUCGUCGGAAUCUAUUGUCAGCAUAACCUUCGGCAGAGGCCGCAGGGGCGGGUUUUUGCCUGCCCGGCCGCCGGAGUUGGAUGCAGUCUCUUAGCUCAGUUGGUUAGAGCGCUACACUGAUAAUGUAGAGGUCGGCAGUUCAACUCUGCCAGGGACUACACUGAAAGAGAGCACAUUGACAUGUUGGAAGCCGGAUACGGCCUAUUUAAAGGGUCGUAUCAUAAAGGUAAAAUCACGAGCAAAUCAAAAAAGAAGAAGAACAGAACACAGAGCGUAAGCCGAGUAAAGUUCUGACGCGAAAAAGGCGACUUUGCUUAGGAAUAAGGAAAGGAGAGAAGGGCACAUGAAGGAUGCCUUGGCUCUCGGAGGCGACGAAGGACGUGACAAGCUGCGAUAAGCCGUGCGUAGGGGCAAAUACCCGUAUGAUGCGCGGAUUUCC
Molecule: unclassified non-coding RNA, 666 nt
Filed under: uncultured Bacteroides sp.
Lineage: Bacteria; Pseudomonadati; Bacteroidota; Bacteroidia; Bacteroidales; Bacteroidaceae
Description: partial contains small ribosomal RNA, 16S-23S ribosomal RNA intergenic spacer, and large ribosomal RNA
Rfam family: Bacterial small subunit ribosomal RNA (bases 1-127)
Source: RNAcentral